RNAcentral lists this transfer RNA (71 nucleotides) under Clostridiales bacterium CHKCI006. It matches the Rfam family "tRNA". Rfam says of the family: Transfer RNA (tRNA) molecules are approximately 80 nucleotides in length. Their secondary structure includes four short double-helical elements and three loops (D, anti-codon, and T loops). Further hydrogen bonds mediate the characteristic L-shaped molecular structure. tRNAs have two regions of fundamental functional importance: the anti-codon, which is responsible for specific mRNA codon recognition, and the 3' end, to which the tRNAs corresponding amino acid is attached (by aminoacyl-tRNA synthetases). tRNAs cope with the degeneracy of the genetic code in two manners: having more than one tRNA (with a specific anti-codon) for a particular amino acid; and 'wobble' base-pairing, i.e. permitting non-standard base-pairing at the 3rd anti-codon position. The record is from Rfam by way of RNAcentral. Lineage: Bacteria; Bacillati; Bacillota; Clostridia; Eubacteriales.
GCGAGUGUAGUUCAAUGGUAGAACGCGACCUUGCCAUGGUUGACACGUGGGUUCGAUUCCCAUCAUUCGCU